UUUGAUUUUUUGAUUUUUUUUUUGGAAAAACUUUAAAAACCCUCGUUGUGGUUUCACACUUUUUCAUUUUAGUACCCUGUGGUUUUAAGUGUAUCAAGUUAGUACCCUGUGGUUUCUCACUUUAUCACUUUAGUACCCUGUGGUUUAAAGUGUAUCAAGUUUGUACUCUGUGGUUUUAUUUUUGUUUCAAAUUAGUACUCUGUGGUUUUAUUUUUGUAUCAAGUUAGUACCCUGUGAUUUUUAAACCACAUGGUACUAAAGUGAUAAUGUGCGAAAUCACAGGGUACUAAAGUGAUAAAGUGCAAAACCACAGGAUACUAACUUGACACACUUUAAACCACGGGGUACUAAAUUGAUAAAGUGAAAACCACAUGGUAUUAACUUGAUUUAUUUUAAACCACAUGGUACUAAAGUGAAAAAAAAUAAAACCAUAAGUGGGGUAUUUGAAGUUUUUUCUUUUUUUUU
This 465-nucleotide long non-coding RNA is filed under the name Ananas comosus (pineapple). RNAcentral describes it as "long non-coding RNA (ACOM_LNC008575)". The record is from RNAcentral. Lineage: Eukaryota; Viridiplantae; Streptophyta; Magnoliopsida; Poales; Bromeliaceae.